RNA transcript from Gallus gallus (chicken), 2960 nucleotides. RefSeq lists it as uncharacterized. The transcript is spliced from 8 exons. The record is from RefSeq and is a predicted model, not a curated record. NCBI's taxonomy places the organism in Eukaryota, Metazoa, Chordata, Aves, Galliformes, Phasianidae.
GACACAGCAACAGCGCUGGGGCAAGCAGUGAGCACAGCACUGAUCCUGCCUGGGUCUUUUAUGACUCUAUUCCUCUAGGAGCUCCCUGUAAGAGAGAGGUGCGGCUGCAGGAGGAGGGGUCCCACCGUGCUGCACGCAGAGCAGCACCAGGCUUGGCAGGGAAUGGCCAGGUGGGCUCAGGCAGACGUGUUUCCUGCCCUGCUCGCAGCUGCUGCCUGAGAGCCGGUGCUUUGGGGCCACACUCCUCCCUUCUGGGUGCUGUGGGAGCAGCAUGGUUGCAUUUCAUCCUAAUGCCCUUCAGCCCUGAGAGCGUUUCCGCAGCUGCUACUUCUGGGCCCCACCACAACAGGUUCUGCCGCUGGGUGACUCACCUGCGGAGCCACUGUCACAAAAUCACUGAUCAGGAGCAAGCUGACUGACAGAGCAGGAUUUUUUCAUGCUCCUCUACAGAUGAUGAGAGGAACCACAGCCUCCCCGCUCCUCGUCCAUCCCUUCCGCAUUGCGCCGGGUUGUUUUCAAACAGAGAUUCUGCUUUCCCAACAGCUGAGGAGAGAGCUGCUGCCAGCUGUGAGCACAGUGCCAGUGGGAGCCUGCAGAGCAUCACAUCCCUGCAGCUCACAGCCAGGGACGUGUCCCCUCCCUGUGCCAGAGCCCUGAGAUGAGGACACUGCUCUGGGACGGGCAGCAACACAGCCCUGUAGCCUGACCAGGGAUCCUGGCAUCCACAUGCAGGUAUCCCUGAGCCUUGAUUGAGUGGGACCCUGCCAGGAAGAGGCAGCUGGGAGGGCAGAGCUGCUCAGUGGGAACCAGUCGAGCCAGCGGGUGAGGAGCGGUGUCACUGGGCAAGCAGGGGACAUGCAGGACACACCGGGCUCUGGGAGUGGCUCCCAGCCCGGCCAGCUGUGAGCAGCUCCUGCGGGAAGGCAGCAGGCACGGGGAGAUGGACUCUGGGACAGGGCAAGGGCUCAUCAGUGUGUUCGGGUUCAUCUUGGGCAUCGGGCUGGCCUUGCUGAUACUGAUCAUUUCUGGCUACGCCGUUUUCCUUUGCUACCAGCAGGGCUGGUGCUGGUGCCGCCCUGACUUCAUCUUCAACCUCUACCAUGGCCGCAGGCUGAGGUCGGUAGCAGUGGAGCUGGCGCCUCCAUUCAGCAUCAGUGCCUCUGUGAGCCAGGCAGGGAACGGCUACGUGCGCUUCCAUGAGCAGGGGCUGUGAGCAGCAGGGCAUGGUCCUGCUCCUUGUGUGUGGGGUCCCAGCCUCAUGGAGAUUCUGCAGAGCCUGGAGCAGCAUGCAUGGGGCCUUCCCAUGGUGGUGAGUGUGAUGCAUCCCAAAGCUUUCUGCACCCCAGAGCCUCCUUCCCCUCCUGUAGCUCUGACUGUGGCUUUCCCUGGGAGAGUCCCAAGGAUUUUCCUCUGAAAGUCCUCUCCAAAGCAGUGAGGGAGGAGGGGCUGGAAUGUGACAUGCUCCCUGUGCCUGCAUGGCACUAGCAGCUUCUCCUUGCUGCCUCUUCCACCCACCAGCAGCCACAGACAGAAGAACAGAACUGGCCAUGGGGAAAUUCCUCUAUGCUAGGUUAAAGAACAACUCCCAGAUACGUGGGAUUUCUACUAAAUUUGGAGCAGUGCUGUUUCUGUAUUUUUAUCAAGCUUCUCCAUUCUCUGCUGCGUUUCCUUCUCUGCCCCCGUUGGCCUUGGGCAGGGCUGGAAGAGGGCCACUGCUGGGCAUGGGCUCAGCCUCCAUCUCUUGAAGUGCAGGAAAAAGGGCGCUGCUUCAUCCCAAGCACCCACCCUGCAGAGCAAAGCGACCCUACGUUCCCCGCUAAUCUGACAUCCCGGUGCUUGGGACCCCAGUUUGCCCAGCAGACCUUGGGGCAGGAGUAUGAGGAACCAGCCCAAAAGUGUGGCAAGGAGCCACAGAAAUGGAUGGCUGACUGUGCAAGAGGGGAAAACGCUGUAAGGAAAUGAGAGCACUUCAGGCUUCCCUUAGUUGAGGGACUGCACCCAUAUGGAAAUUUCUCCAGUUUGUACCGACCGUGCAAGAGAACACUCCAGAAAUCCCCUGUGGGUUUCCUCGAGGCUUUCUGGUGUGGGUCUCAGCAGCCCAGUGCUGGGCUGUUGGGCACAGCAGGAUAGGUCCCCAUGGGGAUGAGCUGUAUGGGACAGCUCUGAGCCCAGCAUGGCUCUGCCCCUCCAUGGGCUGCCCUCUGCUGCCUCCAUCCCCUCGGAGCCUCACACCCCCGGCACGGGGCUCUGUGGGUGGCGGAUCUGUUGGAAAUGCUUUGGAAAUGUUGGAGCAUCAUUGGGAAUGCAUUGAGGUGUCAGUGCUGGGGAGGAAAGGGGUCUUUACAGGAGCAGCCCUCCCCCCCCCUCCCCCCCCUCUAUGGCAGGGGGCCGAGAUGUGACGCUACGCACUGCAUGGAGAGGAAGGGGGAGGAAAAAGCUUUCUGCAGAAGGAAUGGAAGAGGAACAACCUCAGCGUGUUGGGCUGUGACUUCACCAAGGAAAAUGUGAGCGCCUGUAGUUUCCCGGAGCCAAAGGGGCUGUCCGUGCUCUCUGCUUUUGAAGCCAAAGCGUGAGGUUUUCUGGCAAAGCCAUCUGUUUCACUGAGAGCUCACUGUGGGGCGGGGGGGGGGGGGGGGUAGGAACGUGGUGUCCCUCAGCCACAGCUGCUGCCUGCUGGAGCCUCCCACGGUGAGUGGGAACCGGCAGCGCCCGGCACAGCCCCGGGGAUGGCUGCAGAGCUUGACGUCAGGAGUGCAGAAACCUCACGCUUCGUUCUGACAACGCCGUUUUUCAGAGGAAGUCAAACCACCCCCCCCAAAAAAAAGAGGGGGGGGAGGGAAAAAGAAAAGAAAGCAAAAAUCCCCAACUUUGAGGAGAAAGAAUGUGGAAGUGGAAGGAGGGGGGGAUGGGGGCACCCGCGGGGGCUGCAGCAGUGCAAAGAGUGCAUCUGAACCCCAGGG